UACAGAGGGUGCAAGCGUUAAUCGGAAUUACUGGGCGUAAAGGGCGCGUAGGCGGCCUGCUAAGUCGAACGUGAAAUCCCUGGGCUCAACCCAGGAACUGCGUCCGAUACUGGUUGGCUUGAAUCCGGGAGAGGGAUGUGGAAUUCCAGGUGUAGCGGUGAAAUGCGUAGAUAUCUGGAGGAACACCGGUGGCGAAGGCGACAUCCUGGACCGGUAUUGACGCUGAGGCGCGAAAGCCAGGGGAGCAAACGGG
This 253-nucleotide ribosomal RNA is filed under the name uncultured bacterium. RNAcentral's name for it is "partial 16S ribosomal RNA". It matches the Rfam family "Bacterial small subunit ribosomal RNA", at positions 524 to 776 of the family's 1533-position model. The record is from RNAcentral.